UGUGAAAACAUGGCAAGCUUUAAAACAUGGAAAAAGGGAGGUGGGUACGAUGUUUUAUAUAUACUCUAAAAAAAUCAGUUUCUGAAUGUUGCAGUCCACAGGAUGCUGUCUCAGAAAAAUGCAUCAUUUAAAUGCUAGUUAAUACGCAAAAUGCAUCAUUUUCACAUGAUUUUUAAUUUUUAGAUCUUCAAUUUUUAGAAUUCCAAAUUAAUCAACCCUUUUUGCUUUUGCUAAUUCAUCACUAAUGGCUCUAAGAUUUAUGUGCUAACUCCAAAGAAAUGCCUAAACACUGUUACUUGCCAGAAAAUGCUGCAAUAAUGUAAACCAAAUAAACUGCUUUAUUCUUCCCAUUUUAUAACCUUAGAGUUUCAACAUAUUUAAAAAACAGUAAUCUGUUAAAAAAUUGCAUUCAGAUUUAUUUUAAUUAGAGAAAAAUCUCAAUCAUGAUUUUUUCAGCAUGAACCAGUUGUAAAAUAUAUAAUAAAGACAUUGUGAGAUUAUUUCUUUUAUUAUUUCCCUUACAUGGUUAUUCUUUGUAUAAGAUGUAUGCCUUUAUAGUUUUGUUGUUGUUUCCUACAUGCCAGGCAUAUUUUCUAUUCCAUUAGAAGGAAAAGAAGUAGGGAGAGAGAAGAGAAUUUAUCUUUGAAAAUUGGUAAGAUCUCAUUUUCCAUGCUCCUAUCAACUGCAUUUUUUCCAGUAUUAGCAGAAUGUGCAGGAUUUGGCUUUAUCCUAUUUCAGAAGUAGACCUAAUUAAGUGCUUAUUGUAUAAAUGAGUGUUUUUAAGACCUGAGCAGUUGCAAUAAAAUUUAGAAGAUUAAAAAUGAAAUGUUAUUCUGUAAUGACAGACUGAACUGAAACGGUGCAAUAGGCAUUGGCUUGUGCAGAUCCUCUUGCAGAAAAAGUACUCUAGUUCUUGGCAUUCAGCAAAUGCCAGUUGUGUGCAUCCCAGUUUGCAAAAACACACUUUUCUCAAAACUAUGAGAAAUGGAGAUUUUUAAAAAAGGUAAAAAUAUACUUCUUAUUUUUAUAAUAAAUAAAAAUAAUACCGUUAAACACAAGGUAAUGCAUAAGGCUGCAUUUUGAACACUAUUAAGUACUCCAGCACUAGAUUUGUGCAAGACAGCCUCUCAUACAUGUCUAAUAAAAAUCAAAUUGUAUUGCUAACUACUUGUGGAUUUUGGUUGUGCUGAGAAAAACUUGCACAAACAAUUUUUGUUAUAAAUUAGGAUGUGUCUAAUGGAACAUUGAUUUGUGUUAGAUGAAAGUCAUUACUUUAAAGAUAAUUAUAGUUCUUUUUUUCCUCUGUCUCAUAAAUCUGAUGCUGGCCCUUUUAAUUCCUACUUGUUCUGUCAGGAGGAAGAAUACAGAGCUAAAUCCAGCAGACCUUAUUUUGGCAAAACUCCCACUGAAGUCAGUAAGGGUUUUGUGAGAGUAAGGACUGCAUGAUUUGUCUCACAGUUCCUGCUGAUUAUUUGGAGUAUGAUUGCUAACACCAGAGCUCCUCACCGAGUUUGACGUUACCGCGGCACCGUGGCUGACAGCGUGGUUUUUUUUGUUACAAUCGUGAAAAUCAGUGUAAUGCGACUGUGAAAAAUACCCUUUUCACCCAAUGACCUUGGAAUAAGAUGGGCUGCCUUGGGGUUUUGGAGACUGUUGCUGUGGAACUAACGCUAAAGAAAGAGAGACACUGAGAAUGUGGAGAACCCCUUUUAAAUUCAUACUGAAGAUUUAAAGAACUCUUUAAACAAGCUGAAAGUAGGUCAAAUUCUGAUUGCUAAAAAACAAUUAAUCAAUUGGGUGUUGUCAAGACAGGUAGUACCUUGUGACAAAAUGUUGAUUCAUGAAGUAUUUCCUCACUGGAACCCUGACACGUCCCUGAAAAAAAAAAAUCUGUUCCCAUUACCGAUUGUGAUAGGGAGCUGAAGAGUUAACAGCAUUCCUUCAGCAGGAGACCUAGCGCUACAAAAGAUAAUGUAGGGCAAACGUUGAGAAUGAGUUCUUUGUCUUUUUCACUUAAAUCUGAGCAAAUCCAGGCAGGGCCAAUGAGAGAAAGCAGAUCUCUAAGCAUCCAUGCUGUCCUCAUCCACAACCAAGAUGACGGCGUUCCAGUUUCCCACACCACCGCGGCCAUGUGUCACGACCUUUCUCCCAAGGUGACACCUUUCAGGCGACAGCACUUCAGCCUCUGCGGCCUCCCAGCCGUGUCUGCCUGCCUUCUCGUGGCCGCUGACUCCAGGCUCACCAGACACUGCCAGAGUGGUGAUUUAGGAACUGGAGCGAUACUGCCAAGUUGCUCGGCUUGGAGCACUUGCUGAGGACAGCCACUGGGUAUAACAGAGAAUUUUCAGUCGCUGUUGAUUUGGGCCAGACAAGAAACAGUGAUCUAAGAAAAAAAGGCUCUCGACUUCAUUUCCAGCUCCUGAACCAGCAAGUCAUUUGGAGAACAGUUUUUCAUGCUCAUCAUAAGGCCAUUUUCUAGGCUCUGAACUGCUCUAAAUGCUUCUGCCGUAUUGUGUUUUGUAACAGUGAUCACCAUCACAGCUGUAGGAAAGCCUUAUCAAGAAAGCUCUGGAAAUCACUAUAUUUAAACAUAAUAAAACACAAUAGCAGCACCUAACUGUGAUGUCUGUAGGCAACUAUACAUGGCUUCACUCGUAGUAAUACCUAUGCGAAUAAAGGUGUACAACACUAUGUGCAAAUCUCCUGUGGCUCUAGGGACAGUUGACGUCAACGUGACUAACUAAUGCAAAGCUGCACAACACUACAGGAGUUUUUAUAGCUGGAAUACUUUCUCAUCCAGUUCUGGAUAAAGAUAAGGAGAAGCCUUUUGAAGCAAAGUAAGCUGCUGCUCGUAAGUGACUGCUCUGAUCGGUGUUCCAAAUGGAAUAAAUUGGUAAGUGCUGAGACCCCAAGUUUAACUGUGCACAUUUUUUAUUUAUUUCAGCCUUCACAGGGGAAAGACAAGUAUUUUUUCUCUAUGGUAUGUUUAAUCUUAUUAAUUAACCAGCUAGACUAUUAAUAAUAACAACAGAAAAAAAAAAAACAGAAGUAAGCUUUUUGUUGCAAGUUAGGAAGUAAAGAUACAAUUGCAAAACUCAAAGAUUUUUGAAUGCUCCCAUCAAAUCCCAAACUAUGUGGAAAAGCCAGUGAACAGAAUCCAUUAAAUUUGCAUUUAUUAAAUGUCCACUUAUAUAAAAGCUAAAAAUAGCUUGAGUUUUUCCAAUUUUCUUUUCAUAACAGUUAUUAUGAUUUUCUGCUUCGUCUCAGAAAGUAAUUUUGCUGCUGCUGUAGUGUAUAAUCUGUGUGCCCUUUCUUGGUGCAGUACAAAUGACAGAGCACUAAUCAGAUCAGAGCAACAAUCACGUCAUCGUUGAGUAACUAGCAAUAAACUGUUUUUACAAGGAAGAAAGAUGAACUAUUUUUAGGGUAACUCUGAACUGAAAAACAGAAAAUGAUUAUACUGUCUUACUCUACAUCAUUGCUAUGAAUUUCAAAAGCAUUACUUUUUCCUGGGCAGCAGACUAAUCCACAUAAUAAAUCUCUGUAUAAAUGGUCUAGUCAAAGAGAGCUUUUAGGAUUUUGGUAAAAGUUUUGAAUUGAAAUGUAUGAUAUCCCCUUUCCCUCCCCCUUUUUCUGCUGGCUUUGAACCACAGGCAGUCCUUCCGCACUGCAUCCUAAGUAACCUAGAUGCCCGUUUUUGGUGAUUAUCCCAAGUUUUCAGCACGUCUUAUGUCUAGAUGUCUAUGUUAUCUUACUAUUGGGGGCAUUUAUUCAGCAAACCCUCAUUUGGAAGUCCAGGUACAUGACUCCCAUAACCUUCAGACCUAUAGGCUCUACAAUGCAAUGCAGGUGAUGUAUGGUAACGAUGGUGAUGGUGGUACAUGAUGGUAAUGAUGCUACAGAGCUAGCAAGAAGAAAAUUUACAGAUGGCUCUAGAGAUGACUGUGCCCACACCGUGUAGUCUGCACAUGCCUUUUUCCUGAGCUUCUCCCCUUCUGGUUGAUACGUUUUCCCUUCAGCGCCUUACUCCAGCCUGUUCUCUUGCUGCCAUCGUGGAAGCAGCCUCUGGUGGCAACGCAUCGCCUUCCCCUCACUGCAGCUAACUCUACCUGUGCCUGUGUCCUACACAGCGGCCUUCCCUUCAUGCUCCGUGAAAAUGUGCGUAGGGGAGAAUGUGCUGCUUCUCCUUGUCAUGGGAAAGAUUAGCGUGCAGCUGUUGAGAAAGACUAUCUUCAGCUAUUCAGCAGUGUGGGAGGGCUUACAUGAGGAUGUCCUGAGCAUCUGUGGACGUGCUCCUUAGGCAUUGGUGGGGUUUUGAACCUUCUGGGGGGCAUCUGAAAUAAAUGUCAUUAAAUGACCCUGAGCUUUUCAAACCUCUUUUUCCUGUAACCCAGCAAGAAACUUGGCACAAAGCAUUUACCUUCUAUUACUUCUUUCACCUACAAAAUGUGAAAAAUAAAACCAUGCAGCCAAAAUGGAGUCAUCAUAUUUUAUUUUAGUUCUGUUAUCAAAUAUAUUUAAUGUAAAGGCAAACUAGGAACUGUACAGUUACCAGACUCUGUCUUGAUAGAGAAAACAGCAGCAGAUUUCAUAGGUAUGUAUCAGAGAAAACCAAGUAAUUUUUUGUGUCCAAAUUACAUCUGAAAGAACUAUCAGUGAUAAAGUCCAUUCUACUUUAGGCAGGAAAUAGGGGAAAAAAAAAAAAAGAAAAAAAAAAGAAGAA
Molecule: non-coding RNA, 4723 nt
Organism: Anas platyrhynchos (mallard)
Lineage: Eukaryota; Metazoa; Chordata; Aves; Anseriformes; Anatidae
Source: RefSeq, a predicted model, not a curated record